Molecule: ribosomal RNA, 468 nt
Filed under: uncultured bacterium
Lineage: Bacteria
Description: partial 16S ribosomal RNA
Rfam family: Bacterial small subunit ribosomal RNA
Source: RNAcentral
GACGAACGCUGGCGGCGUGCUUAACACAUGCAAGUCGAACGGAAAGGCCCUGCUUUUGUGGGGUGCUCGAGUGGCGAACGGGUGAGUAACACGUGAGUAACCUGCCCUUGACUUUGGGAUAACUUCAGGAAACUGGGGCUAAUACCGGAUAGGAGCUCCUGCUGCAUGGUGGGGGUUGGAAAGUUUCGGCGGUUGGGGAUGGACUCGCGGCUUAUCAGCUUGUUGGUGGGGUAGUGGCUUACCAAGGCUUUGACGGGUAGCCGGCCUGAGAGGGUGACCGGCCACAUUGGGACUGAGAUACGGCCCAGACUCCUACGGGAGGCAGCAGUGGGGAAUAUUGCACAAUGGGCGGAAGCCUGAUGCAGCAACGCCGCGUGCGGGAUGACGGCCUUCGGGUUGUAAACCGCUUUCGCCUGUGACGAAGCGUGAGUGACGGUAACGGGUAAAGAGGCACCGGCUAACUACGUG